UGUUGCGGUUAAAAAGCUCGUAGUUGGAUUUCUGUCGGUGAGUUACAGUCCGCCCUCAGCGGUUGGUAUUUGUGACGCCACCGGCAUCUUCCUGGGGACUGUGUCUGCUCUUUGUUGAGUGGCGCAUGAUCCAGGACUUUUACUUUGAAGAAAUGAGAGUGUUUCAAGCAGGCAUGCGCCGUGAAUACGUUAGCAUGGAAUAAUAGCAUCGGACCUCGAUCCAAAGCUGUUGGUUUCUUGGACUGAGGUAAAGGUGAAUAGGGAUUGUUGGGGGCAUUCGUAUUUAACUGUCAGAGGUGAAAUUCUUGGAUUUGUUGAAGACGGACUACUGCGAAAGCAUCUGCCAAAGAUGUUCUCAUUGAUC
RNAcentral lists this ribosomal RNA (364 nucleotides) under uncultured marine eukaryote. RNAcentral describes it as "SSU rRNA". It matches the Rfam family "Eukaryotic small subunit ribosomal RNA", at positions 611 to 978 of the family's 1831-position model. The record is from RNAcentral.